UCGGAUAUCAACUUGGGCGUUGGACAUUUGGAAUGUAAGAUCCGUGGGUGCACGUGGACACAAAUCAGAAGUCAGAAGUCUUCAGGUGACACCUCGCCGUGUCUCAGAUUUGUCCGUAGUCACCCUGGUCGUCACCUAAUUGGCUAUAAAUCAAAAGCACAGAGGAUAAACAGACAGUACUUACAUAAAAACUUCGCUUCUUCUUCACUUCGAGCUCACUUUUGUGACAAACAAAAAGUGUUUUCAUCUCGGCGUGAAAUCCUCAAAUCCAAUGUUUCAACACGAAUUCCUGCCCUGAACAAACUCUUGGGUUUCCGUACAUAAAUGUCAAUUGUUCCCAAGAUUUCAAAACAUUCCUUGGAGAUUUGUUUUCAACAAAAGAUCGCAUCUGCCUAGAAAGUGCUCAGGAAGUGCUUUUUGUUAGAAAUGACAAAGAAAGGUCCAUUUUUUCCUCUCUCCCGCGACGGUCCCAGAAUGGCUAAUCCUGUGCCGCCUUUUCCCCAUGGUGUGAACAUUUCUGGAUGAAGCAUCUUUUCACUUCACGGUUUUAAAAGCCGAAAAGACUUGGUAAAAUGCUAGUGCCGAUAUUAGAAGGCGAUUACAAUUAGGCCGCUGAAAUGUGCGCAUUAAAACUGUCAUAAAAGGCGGACAUAUAUCCUGGACUUCAAAGGCAGGCUGAACUUUUCUUUUCACAUUAACUCGCUUCGCCGUGGCCAUUAAAGUACGAGACUCGUUCGGUUCAAGAAUUUAUCUAUACUUCUUUUUUCCUUUGGCCCCCAUGCGUUGCCAUGCACGAUGUACUCGAGAGUCGGACACCCUUUAUCAAUGACAUAUUUCCAAUACACAGAGUUGUUACCCAGACCUCUAUUUUCCCGGACACCUUCGCUUGCUCUUGAUCGCAGCCAUGGGAAUGAUUUUGUCUCAUGUAGUUCCGUACUGCAAGUGGUUUGUUCCAAAAACGAGGUUGAUGGAGAUGGAUGGUAAACUUUCGUCUGUUUGGAGAGAGGUCAAUUGGAAGUGGUGUCCUUUAUCGGACGGUCCAUCUUGUUCAAUCCCUCUCUGGCUCAAAUGGUUUGCACUUUUCAUCAACAGGUGACGAAGCAUCCGUUUUACUCCCUGCUCGGCAUAAAGUAAACGAAAAAUCAGGAAAACAGGAUCGAAAGUCCAUUUGACGACUUCAAACAAAAAUGUCUUUUAUGAUGAGGAGAAGGCCAAAACUUGCUUCGGAUGUCCAAAAUGUCAGUUAAAAGUGACACGUGUGCCAAUAGUUGUGGCGAAGCGUCCAUACAUAUACAAACAAAAAAAUCAAUAUAAUUACGGUUCCCAGCCUCAUAUUUGCAUGAAAAAAAAGACAACUCCCUUUACGGAAGUGGUAUCAAUUUUAACCUGAACAAAAGAUAAUUUCUUAAAUAACACCUUGUGUACUACAAGCCUACAUAUUAUUUUCCUGGUCAAAAAAUGGAUAACAAACUUGGUUUUGACACAAAAAGUUCAGAUUGAGUUAUUGCAGCAGAGUAACCACAUUUGUGGAUGCACUCACACGUAAAUGUCUUUGGAACACAUCAUCCGAAGUGGAGAAUAGCUCUGUGGAUCCAAUGCUCUCUCGAUUUUCGCCCAGUUUUUAUCGGCCAACUUCAUUUUGCCAUCAUCGCACAAAAGAGAAGCAACAGGGCUUAGGAUAAUGACAAGAAGGGUGAAAGAAUUUGCUCCCGAGUGCCUUACGUCAAAGGCAUCUUCACUGAAAAGUGUCCGACCGACAACUUUAUUUGUUGAGAGCGUUCAAUCCAUGUCGUGCUUCUUUUCGCUCUUGCAUGACUAAUGUGUGCCAUCACUCCCGACAAACUGUUGCAAAGCGUGCCCGAAGACAUCACAUCGCGCCUCUCAUUCAUUUCGACAAAGAUGCACUCAGAUUCACGUUGAAGCAUUUGGAAGGCAAGAAAAAAAGAAGAAAAAUACCAAGAAGCUAUGGCAAGCUCGUUUCUUUUGUCUGAGCGAAAGAUGAGAAGACUUAUAUAAUUGAGCAUGGACCCUAAUCUGGAACACGCGCCGUCAUGACUGUGCCGCAUUACUCUGGCUUAGCUCGGCCUUCAUUACGUAAUUUGAGCCCCAGAGAGCAGGAGGCAAACAUGAUGCCUUAAAGUAACACAUACCUACACACCUAACUGAGGGAAUAGGUCGUUUGUUCGUUGACAAACACUUUUCUGACACUUUACCUUGGACAUGCCGGACCUUCAGCCCUCUUUACAAAACUGCUACGUCCGUACAGUGCAGGACAGAACAGUCCAAAGCGAAAUGACAUUUAGUGCCCCAAGAUCAUUUCCUGGUAGUCUUUUGGGUGUGAACGCUUGACUAACAUGGGCUUUGCCUUCACACACUCGGAGAAUGGGGCAGAGGAAGCGGACAUCUCUCUGGAGAUUGGAGAUUUAGCAACGAAUUCAUGCCUGGUUGCUUCCCAAGGCGAUGGUGAGGGUUGUGUUUCCUCUGGAGAGAUGCCCCGUUGCCACAAUAUACACUGACGAAAGG
Molecule: long non-coding RNA, 2523 nt
Organism: Tigriopus californicus
Lineage: Eukaryota; Metazoa; Arthropoda; Copepoda; Harpacticoida; Harpacticidae
Exons: 3
Source: RefSeq, a predicted model, not a curated record